RNAcentral lists this long non-coding RNA (465 nucleotides) under Amborella trichopoda. RNAcentral describes it as "long non-coding RNA (ATRI_LNC000321)". The record is from RNAcentral. Lineage: Eukaryota; Viridiplantae; Streptophyta; Magnoliopsida; Amborellales; Amborellaceae.
GUUAGCUUGGAAAGGUUUCCUAUGGAGGGAGGGAGGGAUCCUGUGAAGUGGUUUUCAAAUAGCUGUAAUUGAGUUAGCUCGGAAAGGUUUCCUAUGGAGGGAGGGAGGGAUCCUGUGAAGUUGUUUUUAGAUAGAUCUAAGUAAGUCAGCUUGGAAAGGUUUCCUAUAAAGGGAGGGAGGGAUCCUGUGAAGUUGUUUCCAGAUAGAUCUAAGUAAGUCAGCUUGGAAAGGUUUCCUAUAAUGGGAGGGAGGGAUCCUGUGAAGUUGUUUCUAGAUAGAUCUAAGUAAGUCAGCUUGGAAAUGUUUCCUAUGAAGGGAGGGAGGGAUCCUGUGAAGUUGUUUCUAGAUAGAUCUAAGUAAGUUAGCUUGGAAAGGUUUCCUAUGAAGGGAGGAAGGGAUCCUGUGAAGUGGUUAUUGUAUAGAGACAAUGUACUAAGCAUGAAAAGCUUUCCAAUGGAGGGAGGG